UGGGGAAUAUUGCACAAUGGGCGCAAGCCUGAUGCAGCAAUGCCGCGUGAGUGAAGACGGCCUUAGGGUUGUAAAACUCUUUCGCCUGUGAAGAUAAUGACGGUAGCAGGUAAAGAAACCCCGGCUAACUCCGUGCCAGCAGCCGCGGUAAUACGGAGGGGGUUAGCGUUGUUCGGAAUUACUGGGCGUAAAGCGCACGUAGGCGGACCAGAAAGUUGGGGGUGAAAUCCCGGGGGCUCAACCCCGGAACUGCCUCCAAAACUAUUGGUCUAGAGUUCGAGAGAGGUGAGUGGAAUUCCAAGUGUAGAGGUGAAAUUCGUAGAUAUUUGGAGGAACACCAGUGGCGAAGGCGGCUCACUGGCUCGAUACUGACGCUGAGGUGCGAAAGUGUGGGGAGCAAACAGGAUUAGAUACCCCUGGUAGUCCACACCGUAAAACGAUGAAUGCCAGUCGUCGGGUAGCAUGCUAUUCGGUGACACACCUAACGGAUUAAGCAUUCCGCCUGGGGAGUACGGUCGCAAGAUUAAAACUCAAAUGAAUUG
This 542-nucleotide ribosomal RNA is filed under the name uncultured bacterium. RNAcentral's name for it is "bacterial SSU rRNA". It matches the Rfam family "Bacterial small subunit ribosomal RNA", at positions 355 to 912 of the family's 1533-position model. The record is from RNAcentral.